RNAcentral lists this ribosomal RNA (508 nucleotides) under uncultured bacterium. Its description in RNAcentral is "partial 16S ribosomal RNA". It matches the Rfam family "Bacterial small subunit ribosomal RNA", at positions 30 to 523 of the family's 1533-position model. The record is from RNAcentral.
AUUGAACGCUGGCGGCAUGCCUUACACAUGCAAGUCGAACGGCAGCGGGGGAGAAGCUUGCUUUUCCUGCCGGCGAGUGGCGAACGGGUGAGUAAUACAUCGGAACGUGCCCUGUAGUGGGGGAUAACUAGUCGAAAGAUUAGCUAAUACCGCAUACGACCUGAGGGUGAAAGUGGGGGACCGCAAGGCCUCAUGCUAUAGGAGCGGCCGAUGUCUGAUUAGCUAGUUGGUGGGGUAAAGACCUACCAAGGCGACGAUCAGUAGCUGGUCUGAGAGGACGAUCAGCCACACUGGGACUGAGACACGGCCCAGACGCCUACGGGAGGCAGCAGUGGGGAAUUUUGGACAAUGGGCGAAAGCCUGAUCCAGCAAUGCCGCGUGUGUGAAGAAGGCCUUCGGGUUGUAAAGCACUUUUGUCCGGAAAGAAAUGGCUCUGGUUAAUACCUGGGGUCGAUGACGGUACCGGAAGAAUAAGGACCGGCUAACUACGUGCCAGCAGCCGCAGUAA